UACGGAGGAUGCGAGCGUUAUCCGGAUUUAUUGGGUUUAAAGGGUGCGUAGGCGAAUCGUUAAGUCAGUGGUCAAAUUGAGGGGCUCAACCCCUUCCCGCCAUUGAAACUGGCGAUCUUGAGUGGAAGAGAAGUAUGCGGAAUGCGUGGUGUAGCGGUGAAAUGCAUAGAUAUCACGCAGAACCCCGAUUGCGAAGGCAGCAUGCCGGCUUCCGACUGACGCUGAAGCACGAAAGCGUGGGGAUCGAACAGG
This 252-nucleotide ribosomal RNA is filed under the name uncultured bacterium. RNAcentral describes it as "partial 16S ribosomal RNA". It matches the Rfam family "Bacterial small subunit ribosomal RNA", at positions 524 to 776 of the family's 1533-position model. The record is from RNAcentral.